This 254-nucleotide ribosomal RNA is filed under the name uncultured bacterium. Its description in RNAcentral is "partial 16S ribosomal RNA". It matches the Rfam family "Bacterial small subunit ribosomal RNA", at positions 524 to 776 of the family's 1533-position model. The record is from RNAcentral.
UACGUAGGGUGCGAGCGUUGUCCGGAAUUAUUGGGCGUAAAGGGCUCGUAGGCGGUUUGUCGCGUCGGGAGUGAAAACCCAGGGCUUAACCCUGGGCUGGCUUCCGAUACGGGCAGACUAGAGGUAUGCAGGGGGAGAACGGAAUUCCUGGUGUAGCGGUGAAAUGCGCAGAUAUCAGGAGGAACACCGGUGGCGAAGGCGGUUCUCUGGGCAUUACCUGACGCUGAGGAGCGAAAGUGUGGGGAGCGAACAGG